Molecule: ribosomal RNA, 503 nt
Filed under: uncultured bacterium
Lineage: Bacteria
Description: partial 16S ribosomal RNA
Rfam family: Bacterial small subunit ribosomal RNA
Source: RNAcentral
AUUGAACGCUGGCGGCAGGCUCAACACAUGCAAGUCGAGCGGGGUGAUGGUGCUUGCACUAUCACUUAGCGGCGGACGGGUGAGUAAUGCUUAGGAAUCUGCCUAUUAGUGGGGGACAACAUCUCGAAAGGGAUGCUAAUACCGCAUACGUCCUACGGGAGAAAGCAGGGGAUCACUUGUGACCUUGCGCUAAUAGAUGAGACUAAGUCGGAUUAGCUAGUUGGUGGGGUAAAGGCCUACCAAGGCGACGAUCUGUAGCGGGUCUGAGGGGAUGAUCCGCCACACUGGGACUGAGACACGGCCCAGACUCCUACGGGAGGCAGCAGUGGGGAAUAUUGGACAAUGGGGGGAACCCUGAUCCAGCCAUGCCGCGUGUGUGAAGAAGGCCUUAUGGUUGUAAAGCACUUUAAGCGAGGAGGAGGCUCUUUUGGUUAAUACCCAAGAUGAGUGGACGUUACUCGCAGAAUAAGCACCGGCUAACUCUGUGCCAGCAGCCGCCGUAA